AUUGAACGCUGGCGGCAGGCCUAACACAUGCAAGUCGAACGGUAGCACAGAGAGCUUGCUCUCGGGUGGCGAGUGGCGGACGGGUGAGUAACGUCUGGGAAACUGCCCGAUGGAGGGGGAUAACUACUGGAAACGGUAGCUAAUACCGCAUAACGUCGCAAGACCAAAGUGGGGGACCUUCGCGCCUCCCACCAUCGGAUGUGCCCAUAUGGGAGUAGCUAGUAGGUGGGGUAAUGGCUCACCUAGGCGACGAUCCCUAGCUGGUCUGAGAGGAUGACCAGCCACACUGGAACUGAGACACGGUCCAGACUCCUACGGGAGGCAGCAGUGGGGAAUAUUGCACAAUGGGCGCAAGCCUGAUGCAGCCAUGCCGCGUGUAUGAAGAAGGCCUUCGGGUUGUAAAGUACUUUCAGCGGGGAGGAAGGCGGUGAAGUUAAUAACUUCACCGAUUGACGUUACCCGCAGAAGAAGCACCGGCUAACUCCGUGCCAGCCGCCGCGGUAA
This 504-nucleotide ribosomal RNA is filed under the name uncultured bacterium. Its description in RNAcentral is "partial 16S ribosomal RNA". It matches the Rfam family "Bacterial small subunit ribosomal RNA", at positions 30 to 523 of the family's 1533-position model. The record is from RNAcentral.